CUACGGGAUGCAGCAGUGGGGAAUAUUGCACAAUGGGCGAAAGCCUGAUGCAGCGACGCCGCGUGAGCGAAGAAGGUUUUCGGAUCGUAAAGCUCUGUCCUAUGGGAAGAAAAUGACGGUACCAUAGGAGGAAGCCCCGGCUAACUACGUGCCAGCAGCCGCGGUAAUACGUAGGGGGCGAGCGUUGUCCGGAUUUACUGGGCGUAAAGGGUGAGUAGGCGGUAACGUGUGUCAGAUGUGAAAGGCGAGGGCUAAACCCUCGUAAGCAUUUGAAACUGCGUAACUUGAGCGCAGGAGAGGUAAGCGGAAUUCCUAGUGUAGCGGUGAAAUGCGUAGAUAUUAGGAGGAACACCGGUGGCGAAGGCGGCUUACUGGACUGUAACUGACGCUGAGACACGAAAGCGUGGGGAGCAAACAGGAUUAGAUACCCUGGUAGUC
RNAcentral lists this ribosomal RNA (438 nucleotides) under uncultured bacterium. Its description in RNAcentral is "partial 16S ribosomal RNA". It matches the Rfam family "Bacterial small subunit ribosomal RNA", at positions 339 to 795 of the family's 1533-position model. The record is from RNAcentral.